AUGCAAGUCGAGCGGCAGCGGGGGGAAGCUUGCUUCCCCGCCGGCGAGCGGCGGACGGGUGAGUAAUGUCUGGGGAUCUGCCUGAUGGAGGGGGAUAACUACUGGAAACGGUAGCUAAUACCGCAUAACGUCGCAAGACCAAAGUGGGGGACCUUCGGGCCUCACGCCAUCGGAUGAACCCAGAUGGGAUUAGCUAGUAGGUGAGGUAACGGCUCACCUAGGCGACGAUCCCUAGCUGGUCUGAGAGGAUGACCAGCCACACUGGAACUGAGACACGGUCCAGACUCCUACGGGAGGCAGCAGUGGGGAAUAUUGCACAAUGGGGGAAACCCUGAUGCAGCCAUGCCGCGUGUGUGAAGAAGGCCUUCGGGUUGUAAAGCACUUUCAGCGGGGAGGAAGGGGACAAGGUUAAUAACCUUGUUCAUUGACGUUACCCGCAGAAGAAGCACCGGCUAACUCCGUGCCAGCAGCCGCGGUAAUACGGAGGGUGCAAGCGUUAAUCGGAAUGACUGGGCGUAAAGCGCACGCAGGCGGUCUGUUAAGUUGGAUGUGAAAUCCCCGGGCUUAACCUGGGAACUGCAUUCAAAACUGACAGGCUAGAGUCUCGUAGAGGGGGGUAGAAUUCCAGGUGUAGCGGUGAAAUGCGUAGAGAUCUGGAGGAAUACCGGUGGCGAAGGCGGCCCCCUGGACGAAGACUGACGCUCAGGUGCGAAAGCGUGGGGAGCAAACAGGAUUAGAUACCCUGGUAGUCCACGCUGUAAACGAUGUCGAUUUGGAGGUUGUGCCCUUGAGGCGUGGCUUCCGGAGCUAACGCGUUAAAUCGACCGCCUGGGGAGUACGGCCGCAAGGUUAAAACUCAAAUGAAUUGACGGGGGCCCGCACAAGCGGUGGAGCAUGUGGUUUAAUUCGAUGCAACGCGAAGAACCUUACCUACUCUUGACAUCCAGCGAACCCUGUAGAGAUACGGGGGUGCCUUCGGGAACGCUGAGACAGGUGCUGCAUGGCUGUCGUCAGCUCGUGUUGUGAAAUGUUGGGUUAAGUCCCGCAACGAGCGCAACCCUUAUCCUCUGUUGCCAGCACUUCGGGUGGGAACUCAGGGGAGACUGCCGGUGAUAAACCGGAGGAAGGUGGGGAUGACGUCAAGUCAUCAUGGCCCUUACGAGUAGGGCUACACACGUGCUACAAUGGCGCAUACAAAGAGAAGCGACCUCGCGAGAGCAAGCGGACCUCAUAAAGUGCGUCGUAGUCCGGAUUGGAGUCUGCAACUCGACUCCAUGAAGUCGGAAUCGCUAGUAAUCGUAGAUCAGAAUGCUACGGUGAAUACGUUCCCGGGCCUUGUACACACCGCCCGUCACACCAUGGGAGUGGGUUGCAAAAGAAGUAGGUAGCUUAACCUUCGGGAGGGCGCUUACCACUUUGUGAUUCAUGACUGGGGUGAAGUCGUAACAAGGUAACCGUAGGGGAACCUGCGGUUGGAUCACCUCCUUACCGAG
Molecule: ribosomal RNA, 1493 nt
Filed under: Pseudomonas syringae pv. actinidiae
Lineage: Bacteria; Pseudomonadati; Pseudomonadota; Gammaproteobacteria; Pseudomonadales; Pseudomonadaceae
Description: bacterial SSU rRNA
Rfam family: Bacterial small subunit ribosomal RNA
Source: RNAcentral